Molecule: ribosomal RNA, 492 nt
Filed under: uncultured bacterium
Lineage: Bacteria
Description: bacterial SSU rRNA
Rfam family: Bacterial small subunit ribosomal RNA
Source: RNAcentral
GACGAACGCUGGCGGCGUGCUUAACACAUGCAAGUCACGGGGGCCCAGGGGCAACUCUGGGCAACCGGCGAACGGGUGCGUAACACGUGAGCAACCUGCCUAUCUGCGGGGGAUAGCCGGCCCAACGGCCGGGUAAUACCGCAUACGUUCACGAGGGGACAUCCCCUUGUGAGGAAAACUCCGGUGCAGAUAGAGGGGCUCGCGGCCUAUCAGCUAGUUGGUGAGGUAACGGCUCACCAAGGCGACGACGGGUAGCUGGUCUGAGAGGAUGGCCAGCCACAUUGGGACUGCGACACGGCCCAGACUCCUACGGGAGGCAGCAGUGGGGAAUAUUGCGCAAUGGACGAAAGUCUGACGCAGCGACGCCGCGUGUGGGAUGAAGCUCUUCGGGGGUGUAAACCACUGUUGCCCGGGAAGAAUCUCCUGAUUUAUCAGGAUUGACGGUACCGGGUGAGGAGCACCGGCUAACUCUGUGCCAGCCGCCGCUGUAAC